This 250-nucleotide ribosomal RNA is filed under the name uncultured bacterium. Its description in RNAcentral is "partial 16S ribosomal RNA". It matches the Rfam family "Bacterial small subunit ribosomal RNA", at positions 524 to 773 of the family's 1533-position model. The record is from RNAcentral. RNAcentral also lists the same sequence under 1 other name.
UACGGAGGGGGCUAGCGUUGUUCGGAAUUACUGGGCGUAAAGCGCACGUAGGCGGACUGGAAAGUCAGAGGUGAAAUCCCAGGGCUCAACCUUGGAACUGCCUUUGAAACUAUCAGUCUGGAGUUCGAGAGAGGUGAGUGGAAUUCCGAGUGUAGAGGUGAAAUUCGUAGAUAUUCGGAGGAACACCAGUGGCGAAGGCGGCUCACUGGCUCGAUACUGACGCUGAGGUGCGAAAGCGUGGGGAGCAAAC